CCCUUAGAUGUUCUGGGCGGCCCGCGCACUACAAUGGCGUGUGCAGCGAGUGCCGAAGUAGAGUUUUCCGAGGUAUUCUUGCAAUGCUCGUUUUGAUGGGGAUAGACCCUUGCAACUGUUGGUUUUGAACGAGGAAUUCCUUGUAAGCAUGGUUUAUCAUCCGACGCUGAAUGCGUCCCUGCCCUUUGUACACACCGCCCGUCGCUCCUACCGAUUGAAUGAUCCGAUGAAUAUCAUGGAUUGAGGAUGCAAGUAGGUUCACCUAUCUUCAUCUUCGAGAAGUGAAGUAAAUCUUAUCAUUUAGAGGAAGGAGAAGUCGUAACA
RNAcentral lists this ribosomal RNA (324 nucleotides) under uncultured eukaryote. RNAcentral's name for it is "partial 18S ribosomal RNA". It matches the Rfam family "Eukaryotic small subunit ribosomal RNA", at positions 1470 to 1796 of the family's 1831-position model. The record is from RNAcentral.